This 398-nucleotide ribosomal RNA is filed under the name uncultured bacterium. RNAcentral describes it as "bacterial SSU rRNA". It matches the Rfam family "Bacterial small subunit ribosomal RNA", at positions 30 to 429 of the family's 1533-position model. The record is from RNAcentral.
AUUGAACGCUGGCGGCAUGCCUUACACAUGCAAGUCGAACGGCAGCACGGGGGCAACCCUGGUGGCGAGUGGCGAACGGGUGAGUAACAUAUCGGAACGUGCCCUGGAGUGGGGGAUAACUAGUCGAAAGAUUAGCUAAUACCGCAUACGAUCUACGGAUGAAAGUGGGGGAUCGCAAGACCUCAUGCUCGUGGAGCGGCCGAUAUCUGAUUAGCUAGUUGGUGGGGUAAAGGCCUACCAAGGCAUCGAUCAGUAGCUGGUCUGAGAGGACGACCAGCCACACUGGGACUGAGACACGGCCCAGGACUCCUACGGGAGGCAGCAGUGGGGAAUUGUUCGCAAUGGGCGCAAGCCUGACGACGCAACGCCGCGUGGAGGAUGAAGACCUCGGUCGUAAC